UCCCUUCCUCACAAAAACUACUAUGCAUCUAACCACAAAACCAACAAGGAGGAUAUGAUGGAGCUGACUGAGCCCCACUAGCAUAUGACUGGGCUCCUGGUUCUCUAAACCUACCAUCAUACUGGGAACAAUAGACAUUUGAUGUCUUUGGAAAAGGAUCACUAGACAUAGAGUAGGAAUAAAAAUUGGCCCACUUUUUCUAAGACCACUUCCCACUAUCUCUACCACUUUGCUGCUAGC
RNAcentral lists this long non-coding RNA (240 nucleotides) under Capsicum annuum. Its description in RNAcentral is "long non-coding RNA (CANN_LNC008741)". The record is from RNAcentral. Lineage: Eukaryota; Viridiplantae; Streptophyta; Magnoliopsida; Solanales; Solanaceae.